Molecule: unclassified non-coding RNA, 297 nt
Filed under: uncultured fungus
Lineage: Eukaryota; Fungi
Description: partial contains small subunit ribosomal RNA, internal transcribed spacer 1, and 5.8S ribosomal RNA
Rfam family: Eukaryotic small subunit ribosomal RNA (bases 1-73)
Source: RNAcentral
GCAAACUUGGUCAUUUAGAGGAAGUAAAAGUCGUAACAAGGUCUCCGUUGGUGAACCAGCGGAGGGAUCAUUACAGAGUCGCAAUACUCCGUAAACCAUUGUGAACGUUACCUAACCGUUGCUUCGGCGGGCGGCGCCCGGGCCCUUGCGGCCCGCGGCGCCCCCCGGCCCCUGCGGGCGCCCGCCGGAGGUAUACCAAACCCUUGAAUUACAUGGCCUCUCUGAGUCUUCUGUACUGAAUAAGUCAAAACUUUCAACAACGGAUCUCUUGGUUCUGGCAUCGAUGAAGAACGCAGC